RNAcentral lists this non-coding RNA (21 nucleotides) under Caenorhabditis elegans. The record is from RNAcentral. Lineage: Eukaryota; Metazoa; Nematoda; Chromadorea; Rhabditida; Rhabditidae.
UUUCGAUUCAAUUUAGUGAAA